This 642-nucleotide long non-coding RNA is filed under the name Selaginella moellendorffii. RNAcentral's name for it is "long non-coding RNA (SMOE_LNC000068)". Lineage: Eukaryota; Viridiplantae; Streptophyta; Lycopodiopsida; Selaginellales; Selaginellaceae. The record is from RNAcentral.
UUUUUAUAAACUUGGCAAUUACACUAAAAAUUACAGAAUUAAAAAUUGUCCGUGUGAAUGAUUGCUAGACUCCUAGAGCUCCAGCGACCUCGGGAUUCUAAAGAGGAGCUCGUCCUAGCGUUCCACCUUGCGGUGGUGAUCGAAUUCUCUGUCGAUUGGCGAUGUUGUUGCGCUUCUCAAUUUGAAUUUCAGCCGUUGAUAUUUGUAGUGUUUUACGGGUCGUGAAAUCGAUAGAUACUAAAGAGGAAAUCACUGAACGUGAGGCAACUCGUUUGGGUUGAGUUUCGCUUGGCACUCUCGUUUGCACACUGCUCCAAGUGAGCUAAAAGCUUUUGACCCUGUGAAAAUAGAAGCUCAGCCUUGCUGUGUGAGCACUAAGUUUGCGAGGAAGAAUUUUAGUACCUGUGGCAAGUCAGGAUCUAUCCGAGCAAUAACCAAAAGUCUGCGAAGAUGAACACCCAGGAAUGCUGGCCUGUAGAGGUAUCCAGGAGUUAUGGCUUGAUAUGCGUGCUUUAGAGCUUCUAUUUGCUUGCACGAGAGACUCCGAGCCCUCUCAACUUGCUGCCAUCGAUCACAAAACCAACAGUGUUACGAGAAGAGAAGAACGAAGGGAAGAGACUACCUUCUUGAAGUGCUUCGCUG